RNAcentral lists this small RNA (2010 nucleotides) under Pan troglodytes (chimpanzee). RNAcentral describes it as "retained intron". The record is from RNAcentral. Lineage: Eukaryota; Metazoa; Chordata; Mammalia; Primates; Hominidae.
GGCAUCUGGGUGGAGGCUUCUCAUCCAAACCGUACACAUGGAGUUUUUCCCUAGGUGGGUGUUCAAGUUUGGCCAGAAACCAUCGUUUUUAUGUCCGUUUAAGCCACACUCACUGGGCACUUAGUAGAAAUGGGUUGAUGUCAGUUCAAUUAAAGAGUGAGUGACCUCUGCUGGGCCCUUGCUGCUCAUCUGUCCACAGGAUGGCCGGCUCCUGCCAGAGUUCAACAUGGCGGAGCCUCCCUUGAUCUUCGAAUGCAACCACGCGUGCUCCUGCUGGAGGAACUGCCGAAAUCGCGUCGUACAGAAUGGUCUCAGGCUGAGGCUGUGGCCUGGGUCCACCACUACUCUCUAUUUUUCAGGGCAAGGCUGCAGCUCUACCGGACGCGGGACAUGGGCUGGGGCGUGCGGUCCCUGCAGGACAUCCCACUAGGCACCUUUGUCUGCGAGUAUGUUGGGGAGCUGAUUUCAGACUCAGAAGCCGACGUUCGAGAGGAAGAUUCUUACCUCUUUGAUCUCGACAAUAAGGACGGGGAGGUUUACUGCAUCGACGCGCGGUUCUACGGGAACGUCAGCCGGUUCAUCAACCACCACUGCGAGCCCAACCUGGUGCCCGUGCGCGUGUUCAUGGCCCACCAGGACCUGCGGUUCCCCCGGAUCGCCUUCUUCAGCACCCGCCUGAUCGAGGCCGGCGAGCAGCUCGGGUUUGACUAUGGAGAGCGCUUCUGGGACAUCAAAGGCAGGCUCUUCAGCUGCCGCUGCGGCUCCCCCAAGUGCCGGCACUCGAGCGCGGCCCUGGCCCAGCGUCAGGCCAGCGCGGCCCAGGAGGCCCAGGAGGACGGCUUGCCCGACACCAGCUCCGCGGCUGCCGCCGACCCCCUAUGAGACGCCGCCGGCCAGCGGGGCGCUCGGGAGCCAGGGACCGCCGCGUCGCCGUUUAGAGGACGAGGAGGAGAGAUUCCGCACGGAACCGAAAGGGUCCUUCGGGGCUGCGCCGCCGGCUUCCUGGAGGGGUCGGAGGUGAGGCUGCAGCCCCUGCGGGCGGGUGUGGAUGCCUCCCAGCCACCUUCCCAGACCUGCGGCCUCACCGCGGGCCCAGUGCCCAGGCUGGAGCGCACACUUUGGUCCGCGCCCCAAAGACGCUGGGAGUCCGCACUGGCAUCACCUUCUGAGUUUCUGAUGCUGAUUUGUCGUUGCGAAGUUUCUCGUUUCUUCCUCUGACCUCCGAGGUCCCCGCUGCACCACGGGGUUGCUCUGUUCUCCUGUCCGGCCCAGACUCUUCUGUGUGGCGCCGCCGAAGCCACCGUUAGCGCGAGCUGCUCCGUUCGCCCUGCCCGCGGCCUGCGUGGCUGGCGCCGAGUCCCAGGGGCCGCACGGAGGGCACAGUCUCCUGUCAGGCUCGGAGAGGUCAGGAGACCGACCCCACCACUAACCUUGGAGAAAAUGUGGGUUUGCUUUUUAAAGGAAUCCUAUAUCUAGUCCUAUAUAUCAAACCUCUAACUGACGUUUCUUUUCGAGGAAGUGGCUUGGUGGGUGCAGCCCCCGCCGGUUCCGUUGACGCUGGCACCUUCUGUUGAUUUUUUAAGCCACAUGCUAUGAUGAAUAAACUGAUUUAUUUUCUACCAUUACUGAACAUUAGGACAAACAAAAAAUAAAAAACAAAACACAGACAACGGUGCUGAUUCUGGUGUGGUUUCUACUCACCACGUGAAAUAAACUAUCAACUGUAUAAAGAGAACAAAGUGAUUUUAGAAUAAAAUGCAGGAAAAACUUUUUUAAAGAUGUUAGUCUUGUAGUGUGAAUAAAUUUGCCAUCACCUUUUGUGUGGUGGCCUGGCAGGUCAUAUACUUUUUUUUGGCAUAUACCUUUUUAAAGACUGUAAUUAGUGCAGUAACAGUGGGGUUUUUUUUGUGCAACUCUUCUAAAAACAUUCAUAAUGCAGUCAUGUUUAUUUUUUUCUGUUAAAAUGUUUUUGACAGUUUUAAGAGCAGUCUUUUGGCUCUGACCAUUUCU